GACGAACGCUGGCGGCAUGCUUAACACAUGCAAGUCGAACGGAAAGGCCCUGCUUUUGUGGGGUGCUAGAGUGGCGAACGGGUGAGUAACACGUGAGUAACCUGCCCUUGACUUUGGGAUAACUUCAGGGAACUGGGGCUAAUACCGGAUAGGAGCUCCUGCAGCAUGGUGGGGGUUGGAAAGUUUCGGCGGUUGGGGAUGGACUCGCGGCUUAUCAGCUUGUUGGUGGGGUAGUGGCUUACCAAGGCUUUGACGGGUAGCCGGCCUGAGAGGGUGACCGGCCACAUUGGGACUGAGAUACGGCCCAGACUCCUACGGGAGGCAGCAGUGGGGAAUAUUGCACAAUGGGCGGAAGCCUGAUGCAGCAACGCCGCGUGCGGGAUGACGGCCUUCGGGUUGGAAACCGCUUUCGCCUGUGACGAAGCGUGAGUGACGGUAAUGGGUAAAGAAGCACCGGCUAACUACGUG
This 468-nucleotide ribosomal RNA is filed under the name uncultured bacterium. Its description in RNAcentral is "partial 16S ribosomal RNA". It matches the Rfam family "Bacterial small subunit ribosomal RNA", at positions 28 to 507 of the family's 1533-position model. The record is from RNAcentral.